Molecule: ribosomal RNA, 429 nt
Filed under: Acidobacteriota bacterium
Lineage: Bacteria; Pseudomonadati; Acidobacteriota
Description: Acidobacteria bacterium partial 16S ribosomal RNA
Rfam family: Bacterial small subunit ribosomal RNA
Source: RNAcentral
UGGGGAAUUUUGGACAAUGGGGGAAACCCUGAUCCAGCCAUCCCGCGUGUGCGAUGAAGGCCUUCGGGUUGUAAAGCACUUUUGGCAGGAAAGAAACGUCAUGGGUUAAUACCCCGUGAAACUGACGGUACCUGCAGAAUAAGCACCGGCUAACUACGUGCCAGCAGCCGCGGUAAUACGUAGGGUGCAAGCGUUAAUCGGAAUUACUGGGCGUAAAGCGUGCGCAGGCGGUUCGGAAAGAAAGAUGUGAAAUCCCAGAGCUCAACUUUGGAACUGCAUUUUUAACUACCGGGCUAGAGUGUGUCAGAGGGAGGUGGAAUUCCGCGUGUAGCAGUGAAAUGCGCAGAUAUGCGGAGGAACACCGAUGGCGAAGGCAGCCUCCUGGGAUAACACUGACGCUCAUGCACGAAAGCGUGGGGAGCAAACAGG